AGCCCCGUAGAAUAGUGGUCAAGUUCGCGGCCCUUUGGAGGCCGAAACCCAGGUUCAAAUCCUGGCGGGGCUA
Molecule: transfer RNA, 73 nt
Filed under: Nanobdellota archaeon
Lineage: Archaea; Nanobdellati; Nanobdellota
Description: tRNA-Gln
Rfam family: tRNA
About the family: Transfer RNA (tRNA) molecules are approximately 80 nucleotides in length. Their secondary structure includes four short double-helical elements and three loops (D, anti-codon, and T loops). Further hydrogen bonds mediate the characteristic L-shaped molecular structure. tRNAs have two regions of fundamental functional importance: the anti-codon, which is responsible for specific mRNA codon recognition, and the 3' end, to which the tRNAs corresponding amino acid is attached (by aminoacyl-tRNA synthetases). tRNAs cope with the degeneracy of the genetic code in two manners: having more than one tRNA (with a specific anti-codon) for a particular amino acid; and 'wobble' base-pairing, i.e. permitting non-standard base-pairing at the 3rd anti-codon position.
Source: RNAcentral